GGGUUGUGGCUCAGUGGAAGAGCGCUUACCUAACAUUUGUGAGGCAUUGGGUUCAAACCUCAGCACCCA
This 69-nucleotide transfer RNA is filed under the name Marmota monax (woodchuck). RNAcentral's name for it is "tRNA.Val". The record is from RNAcentral. Lineage: Eukaryota; Metazoa; Chordata; Mammalia; Rodentia; Sciuridae.